AUGCAGCCGAGGUGGAAGGCAGGCUCCCUGAUUCUAUUAACCGCCAAGCCCCACUUCCCCACUAAAAGGUCGGACUUCGUCACGAGGACCAGCCAGGAGCAUCGCAGCCAAAGGCCGUCUCCAUCCGAGUGUUGCUUGUUUUUGAGCCCGGAGUCUCUUCCUUGGGGACAGACCCCUCUCAGCCCUCGACACCUGCUGUGUGUUUCGCAGUUACAGCCUUUCAGGCUGGACCGGCCGCAUUUUGAGGGCCCAGCGGCCGUCUGCCUGAGUCAGCGCGGACCUAAAGCAAACUGCACCGCCAAACUCGGCUCCUCUGUUGUCCAGGACCCUGCUGAGGCCACGGGUCUGAGCAUCCUCCUCUCGGCGCUCAGGAUGUGGUACAGAUACACAAUGGAAUAUUACUCAGCCAUAAAAAGAAUGAAAUAAUGCCAUUUGCAGCAACAUGGAUGCAGCUAGAGCGUCUCAUACUAAACGAAAUUAAGUUGGAAAAGAGAAAGACAAAUACCUUACAAGAUCAC
Molecule: long non-coding RNA, 518 nt
Filed under: Sus scrofa (pig)
Lineage: Eukaryota; Metazoa; Chordata; Mammalia; Artiodactyla; Suidae
Description: lncRNA (ENSSSCG00035060970.1)
Source: RNAcentral